AAUUAUGUUGUCUCCUCCUCUUCUGAGAGAACAGUGCAGCAUUUGGGGAGCAAGAAAAGGACAUUCUGGCGGUGGGGUGUGGACAACACUGUAAAGACCAGGUCUGAUGGCACCAGUGGGUCAGGAGUGCCAGUCACGUUGUGGUCUCACCUCCCUGCGGCAGAUCAUGGAGAAGAAGGCAUUUCAACUUGGAGUGAAGCUGGCAUGGCUGCUAGGAUCCUGGACCCAACAGGCAUGAAGUUUGUACUUCGUACAAGGAAAGAAGGGCAUAAAACCGUGGAGCCUUCAGAAGGCAACUCUAUCGAUUCUAAAAAGAAAAACACUUUAACAGGUUUUAACAGAUGUGAGAAGAAUGGCACCAAAGGAAUGAAACGUAACAUGAAUAAUCAGCCACAAGAUGGCAUUUGAAUACUGAUGUAUUUAAAGUUCCGGGCAGUAUCUGGACUUAAACGCAUGCCCAUCUCAAUUUCUUCCCUUCCCUACUUUCUCUCAUACCACCCUGUGAUAAGACCAUCAAGUUUAUGUUCUCUGUAGCCUAACACUCAUAAAAUAUCUUAUUUUUUCAGCUUUUUUUUUUUUAAAUCUCUAAUGAUGGUUAAUUUUAUGUGUCAAUCUGACUGAGCCAUGAGGUGCCUGGGUAUUUGGUCAGACAUGAUUGGGGGUGUCUCUGUGAGGAUAUUUUUGGAUGAGAUUAACAUUUAAUUGGUAGACUGAGUAAAGAAGAUUGUUCUGUAUAAUGUGGGUGGGCCCAGUCCAAUCAGUUGAAGGCCUGAAUAAGGUUGAACCUUCCCCAACCUUCUUCCUGACAGCCUUCAAACUGGAACAUUGGCUCUUCCUGGUUCUAUGGUAGCCUACCAGUCUUCAGACUCAAGCUAGGACAUUGGCUUUGCAGAUUUUGGACUUGCUAUCUUCCAUAAUUACGUGAGUCAAUUACUUAUAAUGUCUAUCUAUCUAUCUAUCUAAUCUAAUCUAUCUAUCUAUUUGUCAUCUAUAUCUAUCCUACCGGUUCCAUUUCUCUGGAGAAUCCUGACUACUAUACCUCUUAAUUUAUUGUUGACAAACUCCCUACUGUUAUAAAAGUUCCAUAAAGGCAAGGACUUUGUCUCGUUUGCUAUUAUAUCCCCAGUGGCCAGACUGACACUCAAAAAUCAUGCAAAUAAUAUUUUCUGAAUUAAAGUAUCUUGCUGGGGAUGCUGUGAUGCACUUAGAUGUUACAAGGCAGCACCGAAGGGAACAAAUAUGUCAGCCUGGGAAAACAGCGACUGCCCGGGUGAAUCGUGGAAUGCCUCAUGUUGUUGUGAAAAGCAAAACGGAAGAGGUUUUUUAAAGAAAGUCAAAACAUAUUAUUACUAGAAGGAGAAGUUUAUAUAAAUUCUGCUAAAAGGCAGGGAUAAUUUACUUGUGAGUU
RNAcentral lists this long non-coding RNA (1408 nucleotides) under Felis catus (domestic cat). Its description in RNAcentral is "lncRNA (ENSFCAG00000047508.1)". Lineage: Eukaryota; Metazoa; Chordata; Mammalia; Carnivora; Felidae. The record is from RNAcentral.